AAAGUUUUCCACCGGAGUACCCCUUUAAUCCUCACCACUGCUUCCUGGUUCCUGUGUUGGGUUGACCCCAUAGAAACUGUCGGCCACAGAAGUGUCUCUCCUCUGUCAGUCAUUGGCUGAUGGGGCAGUUGCUAUGGGGUUACUGAGUUACAAAAACCAGGAAGCAGCUGUAAUGAGCGAGUACUGGAGAGGAACAAUAGCUUUGGGGGAUCAGGUUUCCAAUACAGAGAAGGAAAACAACUGCAUUUAUUAGGAUAUCUGUAGUGUCCCAGUAGCAAUGGUCCAUGUACUAUCCUGAGAAAGUUGUGUGGCUGAGAGUCGAAGGUUUUGCAUAAUGCAUAAUGUAUAUGAAAUAAUGGAGAAUUAAUGCAAAUGGAUUUAUGUGCAAUGUACCAUAUUUAUUGAAUACACAGAGGUAUUACAAGUG
Long non-coding RNA from Hyla sarda, 427 nucleotides. RefSeq lists it as uncharacterized. The transcript is spliced from 2 exons. The record is from RefSeq and is a predicted model, not a curated record. NCBI's taxonomy places the organism in Eukaryota, Metazoa, Chordata, Amphibia, Anura, Hylidae.